This is a non-coding RNA of Paramuricea clavata, 168 nucleotides long. Lineage: Eukaryota; Metazoa; Cnidaria; Anthozoa; Malacalcyonacea; Plexauridae. The record is from the annotation of a GenBank genome assembly.
UAACACACAAUUUAUAAAAAUUGUAUAUUUCGAAUCAAAUCUGAUUCAUCUUCAGCAGUUUCUUGCAAGAUAUGUCGUUAUAUUACAACCGUAAGCAAUUAAUGUAACGACAUAUCUUGCAAAACACCAUUUGAUUCGAAAUAUACAGUUUUUAUAAAUUGUGUGUUU